AGUGGAUGUCAGCUGGCUCUCAUAAGUUUUGCAUCUGUAGAUGUAAUGCUCAAUUGUUUCCUCUUCUUCUUUGCAGUUACACAUCGGGGACGGGAUUUUCUUAAUCCUGUGAAGGUGGUGAUUCAAUUUAUUGUGGCCUGUGACCACACAGUAAAAAAUUGAAUACCCCACUGUACUACACUUCUUUAAGUGUAGCGGUGAAAGUGUAGUUUCGUGGGGUAUCGGGCAUAUAUUUCUUUUAGUGGGCUUACCCACAUAUUAGUGUAGUGCUUGAUAAGUGUGCGGUACACUUACUAAGUUCUUUGUAGGAAUUUGCGCGGUAAUCUUCAGCCACCAUGUUGUCCCCGCGUUGUGUGUUUCAGUGUGCAACCCUCCCCUCCCCAAUAUUCCCCAUUGGGCAAUCAUGGGGAGGGUUCCCUACCCUCGUUUUUCGUACUUCACCCCUUCAAGUCCUGAGGCUGGUGUUUGCGUACACACCACCACAGGCACCAUUCCCAUACUGCCCCGUUUUCAAGUUAGUUGUUUUUGAAAACUUGGAGAGAAAUGGCUGUGUUAUAUGUAGCUGUGAUGUACAGUAGUGGAUUUAUCCCAUGUGUACCGGGGAAGCUUUUUCGUUUUUAUUGUGUUGGAACGAGAUUAAGGAGAGUGGCUGACGUCAACAUUGGCCAUAAAAUAGACUAUUUGUUAGGUACAAAUAUUCAGCCAUCGGUAUUUUUUUUUAUUGUUUCUAUUUCGCCAGAUGUAUUUUUGUUUUCGUCUUUCCUUUCGAAAUACAUUUCUGUAUUACAUUGAA
Long non-coding RNA from Daphnia magna, 793 nucleotides. RefSeq lists it as uncharacterized. The transcript is spliced from 2 exons. The record is from RefSeq and is a predicted model, not a curated record. NCBI's taxonomy places the organism in Eukaryota, Metazoa, Arthropoda, Branchiopoda, Diplostraca, Daphniidae.